UACGUAGGGUCCAAGCGUUAAUCGGAAUUAUUGGGCGUAAAGCGUGCGUAGGCGGUUAUCUAAGUCGGAUGUGAAAGCCCCGGGCUCAACCUGGGAAUUGCAUUCGAGACUGAAUAGCUAGGGUACGGUAGAGGGAAGUGGAAUUUCCGGUGUAGCGGUGAAAUGCGUAGAUAUCGGAAGGAACAUCAGUGGCGAAAGCGACUUCCUGGACCAGUACCGACGUUCAGGCACGAAAGCGUGGGGAGCAAACAGG
This 253-nucleotide ribosomal RNA is filed under the name uncultured bacterium. Its description in RNAcentral is "partial 16S ribosomal RNA". It matches the Rfam family "Bacterial small subunit ribosomal RNA", at positions 524 to 776 of the family's 1533-position model. The record is from RNAcentral.